CCCUCGGUGGUUCAGUGGCAGAAUGCUCGCAUGCCACGCGGGCGGCCGGGGUUCGAUUCCCGGCCGACGGA
This is a transfer RNA of Toxocara canis (dog roundworm), 71 nucleotides long. It matches the Rfam family "tRNA". Rfam says of the family: Transfer RNA (tRNA) molecules are approximately 80 nucleotides in length. NCBI's taxonomy places the organism in Eukaryota, Metazoa, Nematoda, Chromadorea, Rhabditida, Toxocaridae. The record is from Rfam.